UGGGGAAUAUUGGACAAUGGGCGAAAGCCUGAUCCAGCCAUGCCGCGUGUGUGAAGAAGGUCUUCGGAUUGUAAAGCACUUUAAGUUGGGAGGAAGGGCAGUAAAUUAAUACUUUGCUGUUUUGACGUUACCGACAGAAUAAGCACCGGCUAACUCUGUGCCAGCAGCCGCGGUAAUACAGAGGGUGCAAGCGUUAAUCGGAAUUACUGGGCGUAAAGCGCGCGUAGGUGGUUAGUUAAGUUGGAUGUGAAAUCCCCGGGCUCAACCUGGGAACUGCAUUCAAAACUGACUGACUAGAGUAUGGUAGAGGGUGGUGGAAUUUCCUGUGUAGCGGUGAAAUGCGUAGAUAUAGGAAGGAACACCAGUGGCGAAGGCGACCACCUGGACUGAUACUGACACUGAGGUGCGAAAGCGUGGGGAGCAAACAGGAUUAGAUACCCCGGUAGUCCCUGAG
RNAcentral lists this ribosomal RNA (454 nucleotides) under uncultured bacterium. RNAcentral describes it as "bacterial SSU rRNA". It matches the Rfam family "Bacterial small subunit ribosomal RNA", at positions 355 to 801 of the family's 1533-position model. The record is from RNAcentral.